AAGAGCUCAAAGUUGGAACCUGUUUGGCCUAGCUAAACAGGAUUGUAAACUGUAGAAGUGUUUUCCAGGCAAUCCGAGUUAAUAAGUCCUUUGGAACAGGGCAUCAUAGAGGGUGAGAAUCCCGUCUUUGAUUCGAGAUAUUUUGUCUUUUGCGAUACACUUUCAAAGAGUCAGGUUGUUUGGGAAUGCAGCCUAAAUUGGGUGGUAAAUCUCACCUAAAGCUAAAUAUUGGCGAGAAACCGAUAGCGAACAAGUACCGUGAGGGAAAGAUGAAAAGAACUUUGAAAAGAGAGUUAAACAGUAUGUGAAAUUGUUAAAAGGGAACCGUUUGGAGCCAGACUGGCUUGUCUGUAAUCAAUCUAGGUUUCGUGCCUGGAUGCACUUGCAGACUAUUUGCCUGCCAACGACAAUUUUUUUUGAGUGUAAAAACUAUUGGAAAUGUGGCCAAUAUUUAUUUAUUGGUGUUAUAGUCCUUUAGAAAAUACCUUGAAUUGGAUUGAGGAACGCAGCGAAUGCUUCUCUUUUGAGGCAAAGUCUUUUAUUGGGAUUUACGGAUCAGACUGUGGCAUUGUCACAAGACUUGAAGUUUAAACCUAUUUUUGAAC
RNAcentral lists this ribosomal RNA (605 nucleotides) under Rhizopus stolonifer. RNAcentral's name for it is "eukaryotic LSU rRNA". It matches the Rfam family "Eukaryotic large subunit ribosomal RNA", at positions 103 to 618 of the family's 3401-position model. The record is from RNAcentral. Lineage: Eukaryota; Fungi; Mucoromycota; Mucoromycetes; Mucorales; Rhizopodaceae.